AAUAGGCCUGAGAGGUAAGAUUAUAGCUUUGGGCUUAUGGGCUAUUCAGGACAUUUGUCAUAACCAUAGCGGAUGCUAGAAUAUUCAAAACACACUAGCCUUACCACCAGUCAUGAUUGAGUCGUUUAGGAGCUUAUGUUCAUUUCCCUUGCAGAAACUAUCAUCCUCCGCCUUCUCUCUUCUUUGGAUACGUUUUCUUAUGUUCGUUUCCCCUGCAGAAAGCCAACCCGUCUCAAAAUUUUGAACACGCAGCGACAAACCAACAAGAGGUGUUUCCUUUGGUUGCCCUGGAACUGUUUAAAUACAAUAAAAUUUCUCUGCAACCAAACAAUGCACCUGUCCAUUUACAAGACGCAAAUUGAAUCUACCCCAGAUACAUCCAUGCAUCAGUAGGAGUGAUAAAAGCUGAAACGCAAUCAUUAUCUUCUUUACAUUUUUUUCUGUUACUUGCUAUCCUCAAACAACGACUUUGAUAAAAAGGCAGGCCUGAUUGGUACUUCAAUUAAUCUUACCUGGACAGGUAUAGCCUAAAUUCAGGUUCGAAGUCAUGGGAAUCUUGCGCUCCUAGCUUUAUUUAGUCUUCUUUUUCCAGCUCUUUGUUCUUCCUCUGCCAUACCUUCUCAGCAGGUUUUCAGCACAUCCAAACAACAACUAGUAACAUCCAAAGGAUCUACUUCUUCUUCUUCUUCUAUCAUCGAUUUAACCUUGGGCCAAAAGAGAGAGGUUUUGUCUGUGGGUUUGUUGCUAGGGGUGCUGAUAAAGAAGAGAUAUUUGAGACCAAGAUGAAGGAACCGAAGAAGAUUGUGAACAUAUACAUGGCUUGCUUAUGGUCCUUUUUAGUGAGUUUGACAGGAGGUCUGAUGUUGGCAUGGUGGGAACAUAAAUAUCAUCCAACAAAUAGGCAGCUGUGGAUGGUGCCCUUUGGUCUUAUUCUGUUUACUACUCCACUCAUCAUUUGGUUCGCCAUUUUCGUUUCUGAUAUCUGCAGUUUUUCAGAGGAAGUAAGGCCGCCAAAUAGCUCAGUUCAUGACCCAGAAAAGAUGAUCAAGCAAGUUAUUUCAACUUCCUAUUGAUUGUUUCUAUAAAGCUUUAAAUUUUUCUUUUCUUUUUUUUUGGAUAAAACUUUACAAGAAUUACAAGCAAUAUCAGAUCGCCCUUCUGCCUCAUCUUUGUACAGUUUUA
Molecule: non-coding RNA, 1182 nt
Organism: Durio zibethinus
Lineage: Eukaryota; Viridiplantae; Streptophyta; Magnoliopsida; Malvales; Malvaceae
Source: RefSeq, a predicted model, not a curated record